UGUCUUUGAGGUAGAUAAUUAGAAGGAAUGUAUUGAUCAUUAUUUUCUGAUUAUUUACAAUUUACAUAUCGAGAAUCAUAGUCUAUGCAACAAUUAAUAAAUGUGCUGAUAGAAACAAAUUAACAGAAGGAGUCUAGUUGGAAACAUCGACAAGGUUCCAGUUCUUUUGAGUUAUUGCAAUGUAAGCAGAAGCUCUUUUGUCAAUACCAGGUUCAGCUACCCACCGGCCUCUGUCUUCAUCACUCGGAUAAACUUUGUAAGAUUUAACACAGUCAUCCGUUCCACUUACGUCUUUGCCUCUUCGAGUUCUUGAACUCUUGAAAAUGCUGAAGAUACCGAAUGACUUCUUCUGCCUGCUACCUCCCAUUGUUACUAGGCGCAGAAGCAAACUUUAAGUGUUGGGAGAAAAGUAAGUUUUAUCUGUGUGUGUG
RNAcentral lists this long non-coding RNA (431 nucleotides) under Daucus carota (carrot). Its description in RNAcentral is "long non-coding RNA (DCAR_LNC000378)". Lineage: Eukaryota; Viridiplantae; Streptophyta; Magnoliopsida; Apiales; Apiaceae. The record is from RNAcentral.